ACCUGACCUGCUGAGGAUUUCCAGUAGGCUGCUUAAAUUCAUAAAUGAGCCUUUCUCCACUCAGAAAAAAUUCUACGAUGCAACUCACAUUUUAAAAUGAGUAACUUUGUGAAGGGCAUUGCAAACCUCAGUGGUACCCAUCUUGCCUCUGACUCCAGGGACCUAAAUAAAAAAUCCUUCUGCCACUGCAUGCUGGUGCUGAGGGAAUAUUACACUGAUGAUGGUACCAAGCAUCAGAUGCACCCGACCUUCACUAGUCCAACUCCUUGUAAUCCGGUUCCUUCGAUAAUCUGGCACUGAUUAUGUUUAAUGUGAUCCUUCAGUAAUUCGGCAUCUUCACUAAUCCGGCACUCCUCAGGUCCCAACAGAAUAACAACCACAUGACCCUAUGUGCUGUGGGUCAUGUCUGGAUUCUUCCAAGCCUCGUCAAUCUCCAUAGGCAUGCUCAGGUAUGCCCACCUCAUUCAAGGCCUUUCCCUUUGGAAUGCAGUAUCACUGGGAAGAUCGAAGAACAGGAAGAACAAAGGGUAAUGUCAGAAGUACUUUCAGCAAGUGACAACAUCAGCCUCAGCAAUACAGCAAUCAAUUCUCCCGCAUGAAUGCGAGCAAGGAAUCUUAGUGCUUUAUUUGGGAUGCUCUAAUUGAAACACAUCACCUGUUUUUUUUAACCAUACUGUAACAACAGUGAGAGCAAAGUUGU
This is a long non-coding RNA of Mobula hypostoma (lesser devil ray), 700 nucleotides long. RefSeq lists it as uncharacterized. The record is from RefSeq and is a predicted model, not a curated record. NCBI's taxonomy places the organism in Eukaryota, Metazoa, Chordata, Chondrichthyes, Myliobatiformes, Myliobatidae. The transcript has 4 exons.